RNAcentral lists this ribosomal RNA (613 nucleotides) under uncultured bacterium. RNAcentral's name for it is "bacterial SSU rRNA". It matches the Rfam family "Bacterial small subunit ribosomal RNA", at positions 122 to 770 of the family's 1533-position model. The record is from RNAcentral.
GAAUCUAGCUCUAGGUCUGGGACAACCAUUGGAAACGAUGGCUAAUACUGGAUGUGCCGAGAGGUAAAAGGCUUGCUGCCUAGAGAUGAGCUUGCGUCAGAUUAGCUAGUAGGUGUGGUAAGAGCGCACCUAGGCGACGAUCUGUAGCUGGUCUGAGAGGACGAUCAGCCACACUGGAACUGAGACACGGUCCAGACUCCUACGGGAGGCAGCAGUGGGGAAUUUUCCGCAAUGGGCGAAAGCCUGACGGAGCAAUACCGCGUGAGGGAGGAAGGCUCUUGGGUUGUAAACCUCUUUUCUCAAGGAAGAUAAUGACGGUACUUGAGGAAUAAGCAUCGGCUAACUCCGUGCCAGCAGCCGCGGUAAUACGGAGGAUGCAAGCGUUAUCCGGAAUGAUUGGGCGUAAAGCGUCCGCAGGUGGUUUUGAAAGUCUGUUGUUAAAGCGUGAGGCUUAACCUCAUAAGGGCAAUGGAAACUACGAGACUAGAGUACGUUCGGGGCAAGGGGAAUUCCCAGUGUAGCGGUGAAAUGCGUAGAGAUUGGGAAGAACACCGGUGGCGAAAGCGCCUUGCUAGGCCGUAACUGACACUGAGGGACGAAAGCUAGGGGAGCG